AAGGAUUUUCAUCCACCCUGAAUGUGCCCGAUCAAGUGUGAUCUCAGAAGCUAAGCAGGGUCAGGCCUGGUUAGUAUAAGCAGAAAAAGGAUAUUUUCUUUU
This 102-nucleotide ribosomal RNA is filed under the name Rhinopithecus roxellana (golden snub-nosed monkey). The record is from RNAcentral. Lineage: Eukaryota; Metazoa; Chordata; Mammalia; Primates; Cercopithecidae.